Molecule: long non-coding RNA, 234 nt
Organism: Labeo rohita (rohu)
Lineage: Eukaryota; Metazoa; Chordata; Actinopteri; Cypriniformes; Cyprinidae
Exons: 3
Source: RefSeq, a predicted model, not a curated record
UUCCACAGCUGUCCCAUUGUUCUAUUUUCUGUCCGUUUCCUGUUUGUUUAAACUAGAGGAACAGACCAGCUGUAUGGAAUUACUCAGUAAAAUAGCAUGGACAAUAUUCAUGGUAAUCAUGAAUACAGGAAUGAUUAUUUUACACAACACAACACUGGCAAAUGAAAGAGAUCAUUCAGGAUGGAUCUGUAUGGUUGGAUUUCAGCAGACACUGUGGAUGAUUGCAAUUUUCAU